UACGGGGGGGGCAAGCGUUGUUCGGAAUUACUGGGCGUAAAGCGCACGUAGGCGGACAUUUAAGUCAGGGGUGAAAUCCCAGAGCUCAACUCUGGAACUGCCUUUGAUACUGGGUGUCUUGAGUAUGGAAGAGGUGAGAGGAAUUCCGAGUGUAGAGGUGAAAUUCGUAGAUAUUCGGAGGAACACCAGUGGCGAAGGCGGCUCACUGGUCCAUUACUGACGCUGAGGUGCGAAAGCGUGGGGAGCAAACAGG
This 253-nucleotide ribosomal RNA is filed under the name uncultured bacterium. RNAcentral's name for it is "partial 16S ribosomal RNA". It matches the Rfam family "Bacterial small subunit ribosomal RNA", at positions 524 to 776 of the family's 1533-position model. The record is from RNAcentral.